This 253-nucleotide ribosomal RNA is filed under the name uncultured bacterium. RNAcentral's name for it is "partial 16S ribosomal RNA". It matches the Rfam family "Bacterial small subunit ribosomal RNA", at positions 524 to 776 of the family's 1533-position model. The record is from RNAcentral.
UACGUAGGGGGCAAGCGUUGUCCGGAAUCAUUGGGCGUAAAGAGCGCGUAGGCGGCCCAGUAAGUCCGCUCUGAAAGUCAGGGGCUCAACCCCUGGAUGCGGGUGGAUACUGCUGGGCUAGAGUCCGGAAGAGGCGAGUGGAAUUCCUGGUGUAGCGGUGAAAUGCGUAGAUAUCAGGAGGAACACCGGUGGUGUAGACGGCUCUCUGGACCGUAACUGACGCUGAGACACGAAAGCGUGGGUAGCAAACAGG